Molecule: long non-coding RNA, 4530 nt
Organism: Manis javanica (Malayan pangolin)
Lineage: Eukaryota; Metazoa; Chordata; Mammalia; Pholidota; Manidae
Source: RefSeq, a predicted model, not a curated record
GCUUUGCAAUAGUUGACUAAUUUAUCGUCGGUAAUCUUAUGUCAAAACUGAAAUCAAAGUCUGUUUCAAACAUCCACAUGGACUUCAACAGAUUUGCAAAGCACUCUGCUUAGUGUAAAUGGGUAUACACAAAUAUGAAAACUGGGGUUUAUUUUCAAAGAACUCGAAGUCAGUGCAGUGAUUCUCAGCAAAAAUAUACCUGGUUGAGAAUCUGCCUGUAAUGUGAUGUUACUGACACAAGUACACUGCACAUGUAAAUUCUGUUGGCUGUCCUGUCAUAUUUUCAGAAUGUAACCAGUUCUCACCACUUCCCUUGCUAUCAUCCUAUUGAAGCUACCAGUGGCUCUUGCCUUGUAACUCCUCCCUGCUUCCACUCUUGCCCUACUGCAGUCUGUUUUCAACACAGCCAGAGUUACCCUUUUUGUAAGAGAGUGCUAUGUACAACUCUGAGAAGUUGUAAGGUUAGUCUCACAGAAGUGAGGAGCAUGAGGACAGUCUAGCUGGGAUGUCAUCCAAAUGAUUUCCAAGCUGAUCUAGAAAACUCUCCUCACUAUUUCACUCUUUGUAUGUAACCUCCAAAGAUGGUGUGUGUGUGUUUCUAGUAUAAGUGUGCAAAUAGCUGCACUCUUGUAAAACUUUUGAAAUCCUAUUUCUAGAAACUAUCAUGAAACUUCCAGUGAAAUGGGUGCUGUUCUGGAAAUACAUAAAUUUUGUAAAAUUUUUAAUCAAGUGACGGAGAAGGUUAUUAAAUUGUCUCUGCAAAAGUUUCCGUAAACUUCAAUAUACAUUCUGCCAAAUUUCAAGGAAUAGGUAAUUUCCCUUAAUUUGUUCUAGAAUAUGGAGAAUGGAAAGGGGACCAAAAAAAGAGACAUCCUAACUCUUUGUUGAAAAUUACUAUAUCCCUGCUGCCCAAGCAUGGAGAGAAUACUACCAAAAACAAACUGCUAGGGAACAUUUUCACAAAGUUAAGUCCAGCAAUAUACAAAAGGAUAAUGUAUUCUUGUAUAAACACGUUUUCUAGGUUGAAAGAAAAAAGCGUACCCUAAGGAUAUAUUUGGUACAGUUCAAAAUAAUUUUUAAGACUGAGGUGAUGUAGGGAAGGAAAUAAUUUGAUGUAGUGUACUUAGCAGAGAACUAUCAGAAUCAUCGUUUUUAAUUAUGAAACAUUGGCAUACAGUAACUUCCUUCCAUAAUGCCAUAGUUGGAGUAAAAAGUUUCAGUUGGGUAAAAUGUAGGGUUGUGAGGUUAAUGAAUAAAUAACUAGGGUGAACUUCAGAGGAUGGGAAGCAGUCAGUUGCAUUGUAUCAGAAUUAAUGUUAUUGUUUGGUUUAUCUAUUUAAGGUCUGGAACAAGUCAAGAAUGUCAGCUGCCACUUCAGUCUACAGCAUUGUUCUCUGGGGUUUAGCAAAUGAGAAAUAUUAGGAAUGGAAGCAACAGAACAUUACUUACAAGUGUGCAUCCAGACAAUAAGUGGGUGAAGUAUCAAACUCAAAUUCUGCACCAAUGAAUGUUUCACCUUGUGAGUGGGCUUCACUGGGAGCAGUACCAAUCGGAGUUAUGGCUUCCCAGAGAGUUCCCUAUGACUGGUUAACAAAGAAAAAGUACUGGCCUCGUUUAUGCACAGUUUGUUGUGGAUGGCAGCUGCAUUCUAGCUCCUGAAAGCCGAUGGCAAAAGUCCACUGGCAGAGGUAUUGCUGCACAUCUGUUGGAAAAAACAAAAGUUCCAAAGACUUCAUGAAACCAUUUGACAAAGUUUCAUAGCAAACAGUACUAAGGACUAGAGGUGAAUGGAUUGCCAAUAUAAUAAAUCAGAAAUUCAAAUAUUCAUUGUAAGUUUUUCCUAUUCACACUGUAGAUGGACAACAUUUCAUGCUCAUAUUCCAGUUUAUAAUUCUAUUUUGCCCCUUUCCUUUCCAUAGUAAGUUUUAAUCUUAGACCAGUCUUCAUCUCUUUUAGUUCUCAGUAAUGGAAUUUGAGCAUUUGGUCCGGAAAACCACAGACCCUCCUUACUGCUGGUAUAAGAAAUUCCAGCAACAGAAUAAGAUGAUUUUCUGUUUUCGUAAAAUGCCCUUGAAAAUGUUAUUUCUAACAAAGGGGUCUUGUAAGACACCUGGAACUCAGAACUUAGAGCAUGUUUUGUGAAUAUAAGCUUGACCUUAAAAAGCCUGUAAAUUCUUUUUGUUUGUAUUGCUUAAUAAUGUGUUUCCCUGGUAAUAUUUAAAUUGACAUCUCCAUGUCCUUUAAGCUGUGAAUACCCAAGAGUUUUCUUUAAUAGCCAAGUAAAUAGAAAAUUUGUGUGCACACAAUAAUUUUUCAGGCAAACGUGAUAACUCUAAAUUACUGAAACUGCAUACAAUAACUUGUAUGCAAAUGUUUAUAGCAGCUUUGUUAAUCAAAAACUGGAAACAACCAGAUGUCCUGCAACAGGUGGGUGGAUAAACUGGUAUAUUCAUACAAUGAAAUAGUAAUCAGUGAUAAGAAGGAAAGAUCUGUUGAUUCACUGAACAAUGUAAAUGAAUUGGGUUUUUUAGUGGUAAAAUAUACAAAACAUAAACAUAGAUGAAUCUUAAAUGCAUUUUGCCGAGUAAAAGAAGCCAGACUCCAAAGACCCCAAAGUCUUGUAUGAUUCUAUUCAUGUGACAUUCUGAAAAAGGCAAAACUCAGGGGCAAAACUUAGUUUCCUAUAGCUGCUAUAAAAAAAUUACCACAGCUUGGUGGCUUACAACACAAAUUCAUUGUCUUACAGUUCUGGAAGCCAGAAGUCCGAAAUCAGUUUCACUAGGCCAAAGUCAAGAUGUUGUAGGGCUGGUUCCUUCUGGAGACUCUAGACAAAGUUCAUUUUCAUGACUUUUCUAGCUUCUGGAGGCUGCUUGUAUUCCUUACCCUGUGACUCCAUCCUCACAUCAUUCCAACUCUUGCUUCUAUCUUCAUGUCUCCUACUACCUCCUCUGACUUUCUUGCUUCUGUCUUGUAAGGACACUUGUGAUCACACUUAGAACUCACCCAAAUAACCCAGGAUCAUCUCCCCACCACAAAAUUUUUAACCUUUAUCACAUCUACAAAGUCCUUUUUGCCAUAUGAUGUAACAUUCAGUUGGGGGGAUUAGGACAUGGUUAUCUUUCAGGUCAUUAUUUGGUCUAUCACAGGACAGAAAGUAGAUCAGUGGUUACCAGGGCUUGAAGGAGAGGGAAGGGUUGAGUACUUAAUGGGCUACACAAGUGUGCUUGUGGAUAUAUGACACUACAAUUGUCAAAACCCACAAGAAAGAACUUUACUUUACACAAAAUUUAAAAAAUCAACCUGGUUGUCAAUGAUCCAGGAUGGAAUGCAGAAUGUGAUAAAAAGGUCUAAUUGUAUUAAAAAUGUAUGACAUAACUUCACUGAAGAGAGUCAGGGAAAAAGUUGCUAAACUUUGAAGAACAGUGUUUUUAAGCUCAUAGAUAACAGAACAGAUUGAUGGUUGCCAGAGGUAAGGGGCUGGGGGUGGGUGAAAUGGGUGAAGGGAGUCAAAAGGUACAAAAAGUAGGAGACAUGAGGAUAGAAGCAAGAGUUGGAAUGAUGUGAGGAUGGAGUCAUAGUUGUAAAUAAGUCAUGGGGAUGUAAUGUACAGCAUGGUGAUCUAGUUAGUAAUACUGUAUUGUGUAUUUGAAAGUUGCUAACAGAGUAGAUCUUAAAAGUUCUUAUCACAAGGAAAAAAAUUCUGUAACUGUGUAUAGUGAUGGAUGUUAACUAGACAUUGUGGUGAUCACAUUGCAAUAUAUACUAAUAUCGAAUCAUUAUGUUGUACACAUGAAACUAAUAUAAUGUCAUAUGUCAAUUAUACCACCAUAAAAAAAGAAAAAUGGUGUUUUGACUAGCUAAUGUAAGGCUAACAACAAAAAGAAUUGUACAUAAAUUCUGUACUCUAGUUGGCAGAUAUAGAAAUAUAGAUAUGUAUGUAUAAAUAGGGUGGUAUAUUUAGAUACAUUUCCUGGCUCUGACUGCUGAGAUGGCCUUGAAGCAGUGACACCCCACCAGCAAUAAGCACAUUUAUCACUCAGAUCUUUGUUUCUAGAUACCAUUUUCCAAUAAACAGGGUCAGGGCUCCUUGAAGAAGUGACUGAUUUUAGGGCUGGCACAGGCAAGAUAUAAGGUAAGUGCAGAAGAUCUGCAGGACCAGAAUAAGACAGCCCAGAAUAUGAGCCUGCACCUGACCACUCCAGACUCUUGCUGUGAUGUAUGUUCUGACUUUCACACUUUUGCUAUACUGUGCACUUUUCCUGAAAGAACCUGUACAUACUAUAAUGUCUUGUGAGUCCUCUUUAGCAGUUGAACCCUGUUUAAAUGCCACUUUAGUGCAGCUAUAUAUUCAAUUUUUGUAAACGAUACAUGAUUCCUAGGGAAAAAAGGUGUAUUGUCUAGUAUACCUGUUUCUUUUCAGGAAGCUAUUAAAGAAGACCUAUUAAUCAUAUUACAAAACGAUUCUCUAUAUGUCUUCAUACUUUGGCUUUAAAAAUUUCACUGCCAGGGAGCCAAGAUGGCGGUGUGAGU